This 301-nucleotide ribosomal RNA is filed under the name uncultured bacterium. Its description in RNAcentral is "partial 16S ribosomal RNA". It matches the Rfam family "Bacterial small subunit ribosomal RNA", at positions 509 to 808 of the family's 1533-position model. The record is from RNAcentral.
CAGCAGCCGCGGUAAUACGAAGGGUGCAAGCGUUAAUCGGAAUUACUGGGCGUAAAGCGUGCGUAGGCGUUUGUUAAGUCUGCUGUGAAAUCCCCGGGCUCAACCUGGGAAUGGCAGUGGAUACUGGCAAGCUAGAGUGUGUCAGAGGAUGGUGGAAUUCCCGGUGUAGCGGUGAAAUGCGUAGAGAUCGGGAGGAACAUCAGUGGCGAAGGCGGCCAUCUGGGACAACACUGACGCUGAGGCACGAAAGCGUGGGGAGCAAACAGGAUUAGAUACCCCAGUAGUCCCUGUCUCUUAUACA